GCAAUCGUUUUUAUAGUUUUUGGCAUAUUUUAGUGUUUGUAGUGGUUUUUAUGGUUUUUGGCCAAUUUUAGUGUUUGUAAUCGUUUUUAUGGUUUGUGGCCUAUUUUGGUGUUUGUAGUGGUUUUUAUGGUUUUUGGCCAAUUUUAGGGUCGUUUUAAUGGUUUUUGGCCAAUUUUAUUGUUUGUAGUCGUUUUUAUGGUUUUUGGCGUAUUUUAGUGUUUGUAAUCGUUUUUAUGGUUUUUGGCCUAUUUUAGUGUUUGUAGUGGUUUUUGGCCAAUUUUACUGUUUGUAAUCGUUUUUAUGGUUUUUGGCUUAUUUUAGU
Molecule: long non-coding RNA, 322 nt
Filed under: Trifolium pratense (red clover)
Lineage: Eukaryota; Viridiplantae; Streptophyta; Magnoliopsida; Fabales; Fabaceae
Description: long non-coding RNA (TPRA_LNC010852)
Source: RNAcentral